GGUGGGUGUAGCUCAGGGGUAGAGUGUGUGCUUAGCAUGCACAAGGUCCUGGGUUCAAUCCCCAGUACCUCCA
This 73-nucleotide transfer RNA is filed under the name Vicugna pacos (alpaca). RNAcentral describes it as "tRNA-Ala (AGC) (tRNA-Ala-AGC-308-1)". It matches the Rfam family "tRNA". Rfam says of the family: Transfer RNA (tRNA) molecules are approximately 80 nucleotides in length. Lineage: Eukaryota; Metazoa; Chordata; Mammalia; Artiodactyla; Camelidae. The record is from RNAcentral.